Pipistrellus kuhlii (Kuhl's pipistrelle) is the source of this 398-nucleotide long non-coding RNA. RefSeq lists it as uncharacterized. The record is from RefSeq and is a predicted model, not a curated record. Lineage: Eukaryota; Metazoa; Chordata; Mammalia; Chiroptera; Vespertilionidae. The transcript has 3 exons.
GAGGCGAGCUGGCCAGCGAGGCGCUGGCCGUGCUGAAGGUGGACAAUCGCGUGGUGGGCAGACGGGCUGGGGCCCGGUGGCCCGGCAGUGCUGGGACCAGACCUUUGUCAUCCCCCUGGAGCGGGUGAGGCCGGCCCCGGGGAGCCGGGGUGGCGUGGGGGCGCGGGGGGCGGGGGGGGGGGGCGGCCAUCUUCACCCGGCUCUCCGCUGCAGGCCGGGAGCUGGAGGUCGGGGUUGCGCUGGCGGACUGGCGGCAGCUGUGCGCCGUGGCCUUCCUGCGGCUGGAGGACUUCCUGGACAACGCGUGCCACCAGCUCACGCUCAGCCUGCUGCCCCAGGGGCUGCUCUUUGCCCAGGUAACCUUCUGUGACCCCGUCAUUGAGAGGAGGCCCGGCUGC